UUUUGUCCCUUUUACAAAAUUUCCAAGCUCAUCACCGAGUGAACAAUAUCCACGUGUUAAUAUAGAGAAGGAGGAUGGAAUUCUGCUAAAGGGAGGAGUGACUCCUUAACAAUUUUAUGUCUUUUAUGUUAGCAUCCUCCGCGAGGUGUGGAGGACGCGGGGGACGCUGGUGGUGCGGCUAUCUGAGACGCUCAGGAGGUUGAGCCAGUGCUGAGUGGCCGUUUCCAAAAUCAGCCGCUGGAUCUCUUCUUCUCCCCAGGAGCCAAGCAGCUCGUGAAUCUGGCGAUCUCAUCCGUUUUAUAUAAACGAUCCCCCACCGCUGGUGUCCCCCCCAGAAUGACGUUCCUUUGAUGUGUUUCAUUGAUCAGUGGGAAAAGAUCAGUCUUGGAUGUCCAGUGACAAAGGCAGAAGGUGACAGGCAGGAACAUCAACGUCAUCGGGUAAUUUAGCGGGACAACGUGGGACGACUUUCAGAUUGGACGCUGAGUUCCCAGAAAGAGCUGUGCCAUGGAGAGAAAGAGGGGAGAGAGACAGGAGAGAGACAGAAGAGAGACAGAGGAGAGAGAGACAGAGGAGAGACAUAAGAGAUUGAGAGAGACAGAAGAGAGACAGAGGAGAGAGAGACAGGAGAGAGACAGAAGAGAGACAGAGGAGAGAGAGACAGAGGAGAGACAUAAGAGAUUGAGAGAGACAGAAGAGAGACAGAGGAGAGAGAGACAGGAGAGAGACAGAAGAGAGACAGAGGAGAGAGAGACAGAGGAGAGACAUAAGAGAUUGAGAGAGACAGAAGAGAGACAGAGGAGAGAGAGACAGGAGAGAGAGAGACAGAAGGGGGAGAGAUGGGAGAAAAAGAGAGCAAGAGGGGGAGGAGAGACAGCGGAGAGAGAGGAGUGAUGGUAGAGAGAGAGGUAGAGGUGGGGGGGCUCAGACUACUAGAAACACUUUCAGGAGCAGACGGAGGACAGGAGACCUGCUGGAGGGACGCUGGACGCUUCCUCUCAUCUCAUCCAGUCUGGUUCAGUUCAAGACUGAAACCUGUUCAGGAUCCUCCUGACCUCAGAGGACGUCUCCUGAGACAGUCCAGGCAGGACAGACCACAGAGGGACCAGCAGCAGGAGGAGGAUGGAGCCGGAUCGGAUCGGAUGAUUAGUGACUCGCUCACAUCUGCAGGCGGGAGGAGAAGAUCGGAUCCCAGAAGCUUCAUCUGUGGAUCCGUCGAUCACACAUUCAGGAAGGAUACUCUGACUUUCGAGUCCUGUCUUCAUCCCAACCCGCGUCAACAGGAAGUCCAUGUCUGCCAUCAGCACGAAAUCGUCUGAUCUGAUGACGUCCCAACCCGAACUCUUAGCCUAGACGUG
Molecule: long non-coding RNA, 1358 nt
Filed under: Takifugu rubripes (torafugu)
Lineage: Eukaryota; Metazoa; Chordata; Actinopteri; Tetraodontiformes; Tetraodontidae
Description: lncRNA (ENSTRUG00000029094.1)
Source: RNAcentral